UUCUAAUCCCUCCGUCCCAAA
This 21-nucleotide microRNA is filed under the name Corchorus olitorius. Its description in RNAcentral is "ssp-miR11". The record is from RNAcentral. Lineage: Eukaryota; Viridiplantae; Streptophyta; Magnoliopsida; Malvales; Malvaceae.